AGUUUUAAAAGAACUAUAUUUUUAAAAAAAACAAUACAGAGAAGGUUAGCAUGUCCUCUGUGCAAGGAUGACAUGCAAAUUUGUGAAAUGUUAAAAAACAAC
Myotis brandtii (Brandt's bat) is the source of this 102-nucleotide non-coding RNA. Lineage: Eukaryota; Metazoa; Chordata; Mammalia; Chiroptera; Vespertilionidae. The record is from Rfam.